This 1169-nucleotide long non-coding RNA is filed under the name Homo sapiens (human). RNAcentral describes it as "ZNF567 divergent transcript". The record is from RNAcentral. Lineage: Eukaryota; Metazoa; Chordata; Mammalia; Primates; Hominidae.
AUAGUGCGUGGCUGGGAUGAGGGCGGCGCUCACGGUGAGGAAGCCCCGAGCUCCCGGGACGCAGACAGGGUGUGCAGGGCCGUAGCUCGGGCCUGUGUAUGCACCUGUGCGUGUGUGUUUGAUGCCAGGACAAGGCGGCGGUGUGCGCGGCGAGGAGGCUGCGACAGCUGUAUAGACCCCAGCUGCAGUGAAAUGGCCAUCAAAAAGGGAAGGGAUAAUCGAGUGGUGGAAUAAAAUCUGCAAACAGAAAAAGGACAGACCUGUUUUCGGAACGAGGCUUUUCGAGUUCAAGGGAGUAUUUUUUCUCCUCCUGAAAUGCUAGUCAGUGGUUAGGUUACUAUUAGGCAGGGCCUUGUGAGGUGCUUUGACCAAUAGAAUGUGGUGGAAGUGAUAUUGUGAGACUUCUGAGACAAAGCUUCAGGAAGUCUUGCAGCUUUUUCUCUUCCCCUUUUCCUGCCCUGAGACCACCAUGACUGAAGGCUAAGAGCAACUUGCUUGCGCAUUAAAGAUCACUUGGAGAGAGAGGUCCAGUGAGCAACAACGGCCAGAAAUUUCAGGGAGACCAUCUUGAACCAUCCAGCCUCCACCAGGCCAACAGCUGACAGCUGUCACAUGAAUAUGAUCAGCAGAAGAACCACUCAGGCAAGCCAAGCCCAAAUUGCCAAGCCCCCCAAAUAAUAAGCUAAUUGUUUUUUGUUUUAAGCCAUAAACUUUUGAGGUGGUUAUAUAGCAAUAAAUAACUGAAACAGGUGUUUAACUUUCUAGACUUUUUAAAUGACCAUAUUGAUAUAAUUGUAUUGUUCAACCUGUUUUGUAAAGUGAUUUCUCUGAUACAGUAUCUUGAAAAUAUUCCUUAACUAUUUUCUACAACUUUGCAUUUGUCUAUCUUAGUAUUAUAUUACAUGGAUAUGUGGUAACUUAUUUAACUACUAACUUCCCUUUGCAAUUCCUUUUCCUUGCUGUCUAGCUCCCAUGUCUUGACCAACUUUGCAUUCCCCUCCAGGACCUUAUGGGCACAUGGGUUCCUAUCAUUUCACGGGUAUGUAGACUCAGGAAUGUGGCAUUGACUUCUGGGUGGAGUACAGAUGACUGACACCCCCACCCCGAUUCGGAGGAAUUAUUCAGGGGUGUGAUAUAACACCUACAUACAUUUAUUUAACUAGCCAAUU